This is a long non-coding RNA of Dermochelys coriacea (leatherback sea turtle), 4108 nucleotides long. RefSeq lists it as uncharacterized. The record is from RefSeq and is a predicted model, not a curated record. NCBI's taxonomy places the organism in Eukaryota, Metazoa, Chordata, Testudines, Dermochelyidae. The transcript is spliced from 3 exons.
GUAGGUGGUGGUUGUAGAGAAAAAUACUAUAGUCACCUUCUUGGUACUAGACAGGCCUGUGGGGAAUAGGAAGGCUCCUGUAAGGCAAGGAGGAUGCACUGAGUGGGGAUGGUAUGACCUGGAUCUCUAUGAAGAAGGGGGAUGUGUGUGUGUGCGUGCAUGUGCAUGCGUCCAUGCAUGCACGCACGCACUGAUUUUUACUAAGAGCUCAAGAAGGGACUGAGAAGAUAGCACUUACACUAAGGCCUCUAAACUGGAGCUUGGCAUAGUAAGUGGGCCUGAGCUUGCCUACCAGUGACUGGGAAGGAGUGUGAAGACCUGUGAUGACAAGAACAACUUAUAGUCUGAAGAGCAUGGUGUAAGGCCCAUGGGGCUCAGACCUGGGGUUAAGGAUCAGAUGCAAGGACACUGGAUUGUCUCUUGGGCUGUCUAUUAUCCUGGAAGGGAACUGGCUGGAGGGCCAAGCUACAAGAACAGGCAACCGCAGACGCAAAUGUAAGGAAAGGCCCUGUUACUGACCCACCUAGUAAGUCAACAGUAACCUGAAGAGAUGGCUGACCUGGGUUUAUAGCCCUCCAUGAAGAGCUACAUUUGAAGGACUGAAUGGCUCAGAGGCUAGGAGUGGGACACAGCUUUUUGCUUUGUCAUCAGUGGUCUUGCACCAUUCCCGGCAGACAGUUGCCCAUAUGUAAUGAUAGGUAAACUUUGAAAAGAGACGUUGCUGAAAAUAAAUGCUACUCUAAAAAUAGGUAUGAAGUUACACAGUAACACAGAGGGACAGAUUUUUAAAGGUACUUAGGCAUACAACUCCCAUUGAUUUCCAUGGGAGAUAGUUGCCUUGGUGUUUUGAAAAUCCUAUCUGCAUCUGAAGGCCUAAAUACCUUUUAAAAAAAAAUCUGGCCCUGAGCCUAUGUCGAACAAAACUUAGAUAUAGAGUCACUAUAUACCAAUGAGCAUCUUAGUAAGCAAACCUCUGUAUCAAGCAACCACUUUAAGGUAUCUGUAAAACUUCAGUGUGAUUUUUUUUUUGAUCAAUUUUUAGUUAGAGAAUCUCUCGUUUAGGCAACUGACAGCUGUUGGUCUCUUAAGUGGUCAUUUAAGAACCGUUACACUGCAUGCUUAAAGGACCAGAAAUCUAUUUUUGUGUUUUGGGUGGUAAAGGAUUUCACAGAAAUGUUUAGGCAGUUUGAUUUUAGAUCUUAGCAUUAAGCAGUGGUAAAAAAUUAAGAGUCUACAUCUGUUGUGGACUCUGUCACAGAUGCAAGACCUGAGACUACAAGGGAUAGAAGUGUCUGAAUGGGUCAAGCAAUCUUCACUCACCAAGAGGUAAGGUGAGUUGAUAAAUAGUUUCUUGCUAUUUGGUACAGUAGUAUAAGCUUUCUUUACCCUGGACUUUCUAGCUAUUUUUUCAAUGUCCUGGAAGGAUGAGAACAAUAGUUUUUUUUGCAGAAUAUUUUAAAAUUUGUACUGAUUUUUACAUUGUAAAAUGUAAAAAAUCAACAUAGUAAAGUAUGCAGAAAUUUUAAUUAAAAAAGCAUUGCAGUAUGAAACCCAUCUGACCUAAAAUAAUUCUGCACUAUUAGUGAGUUUACUUACUCAUGCAGGUAGUUCCACUGAACUUGUGUGAGGAAAUGAUACUCGCUGUAAGGGUUGCAGAACUGGGACCUUAAGGAGGAAGCUAGUUCAUUUGGUGGUGAUAGUCAUAAGAAUUUUAGUGGUGAUCGGGAUGACACUAGUAAAUAAUUGGGCAUUGUCUGGUUACUGUGUUAACAUACACAUUGUUGUAUCCAUCUCUGGGUCAGAUUGAAGGAGACACUGACAUUUGUUGUGGGAGUGAAGGAAUAUAAACUUUUAGAUUUAUAACCUGUAUCUAUGGCCUUGGAUGUGCUGUCCUUCAAGGAAAGGACUCGAAAUGUUUAGCAGGUGUGAUGAAAAGUGUAACCUUGAAAAACUGGAUUCAGGCUGGUAUAACACAGCAUGGUUACUUAUACCUGAUAAGGGAUUAUAUGUGAGCCUUAAUUGGUCUUUAGAAAUGAGAUGUUAAAGAUGUAGUGUAAAGUUUGUUUUUUUAUAUUUCAAUAAACUUCCUGGCCUGGUGCUCUCCAAAGUAAUUAGAUUUGCGAGAAGGCACCACUGUUAUUGCUCAUCUUCUAUUUCCUAUGUCUGAACAAAUUGUACACUGGGUAAAUAAGCCCAGUCAUACAAAACAAAAGAUACUGAGAUCUGCUUUGCUCUCUACUAUCUCUUCCACCCCGGGCAAGUCAGAUGCUGAUAAUGCUCACAAUGACUUUUUCCCAUGAUUUUUGUUUUCUACACCUCUGGGCAAAUUGAAAACAAGUAUGAAAACAACAUACCAAGAUUCAAACGUGGGCAGACCCCCUUGAUCACAACCUUUCUUCGAAUGCAACCUUCUCUGUCCCCCAGCCUUCUCACUCUUUUUAGAAAAGUGACAUCAUGAAAAUAUCUUGUUUCCUUUCACACACCACAUUCUCACUAGAGUGAGCUGGAAAGGAGGACGUAUUGGCUCUCUUGAGUCACUCUUGAUAAAACAAAAUCAACAGCCACAAUGGAACAGCCCAGUGGUCACUGUAGCCCAAUAGCUUAGUGACAAUCGCUUAUACUAAAGCUUCAGAGGAGGGCAUAUUGCCAACCCCAAGUAAUUCACUUAAGUGUUCAAUACUUACCCUGGUGGAGGUGCAGGCAGUGGUGGGUAGAAUAUUUUAUUUUUUUCUGGUUCAGGAUGAUGCUCAAUAUAUGCCCUAAACCACUAAAACAUCAGGCUUAAUAGUUUGUAUAAUUUAAUUGUAUCCUGUAUAGUUAGAUGGUAUUGUUCUUGGUCUGAAUCCUGAUGUCCCUGAUGAUGUUUUUGUUUUCUAUAAGAGUACAAACUGAGAUGAAGACCUCAGGUUUUAGCCAUUUAUUCAUAUACCUAUCUUAUGCUUUCCUUGAAUUUUAUUAAAUUAUUUGCUUCACAAUGUCCUACAGCAGUGAGUUCCACAAAGUAAUUACACUGUAUAAAAGUAGUUCCCUUUUGCAUAUACUGCUAUUUAACUUUACCACAUGGAUUGAUAUCUAAUCUCUCUUGCUCCAGAGCAAGCCCAUUACAUCUUCUUCUGCCUUCAAAGGCCAUGCAGAAUUGAACACAGUCCUCUUUAUAACAGCCCUUAACAUAUUGGAACACUAUUAACAGACCCCUUGAGUAGAACAGACUUACUGUAAUUAUGGCUGAGCAACUUAAUUUUUUUCACUAAAUAAAGUACAUGCACAUUCUUCAAGGGAAUAUUAUUGCCAGUCAUUUCAGUGUCAAAACAUCACUUCGGAAAGAUGUCACGAGUCCAUAGAACUCAGCAGAUUGUCAUGAUCUAAACUGUUUUCAAAUAUCCUGGAUAUAUAACUUGAAGAGGCUUGCAUCACUAUAUGCAGAAGAAGGCUUGCAUGGAUCAGGUACUGGAAUAUUCUUCACCCAAAGAUGUUUCACAUUUCUUCUGAACAAAAUUAGAACUCCAUAUCUUUUUUGCAGACUUUUUCGUAUGCAAAAUGUAAUUCCUUGUCUAGCUUUCUGUAGACAGGAACUUUAGAUGACAAAAAUAUAGUAAAACAAUUUAGAAGAAAGAUUUGGUGUUAACCUGUAAAAUUGUUUCAGAUAAUAUUGUUUCAUUAAAAGAAGACUUUAUAGAAAAAACAUUUUAUUUGUAUUUAUUUAUAUAUAUUUAUAUACUUUAUCUAUAUCAAAUAAUUUUUCUGUAAAGGGUGUGCGUGUGUGUGUUUAUUUAUUUAUUUAUAUAUAUAUAUAUGAAUGACAGGGAGGGGGAGGCGCGCAAGCGAGCUGGAAUACAGUUAGACAGAGAAAUCAAUGCAGUUUAACUAAGAGAACAGACCUCAUUAGGAGAAGAGACGCGCACUCCCAUGUCAGUGUCUUUUCAGGCCAUGUCAGAUGUAAAAUGCUGCUUUUUUUUUUUUUUUUUUUUUUAAAAAAACAGAACUUAUUUCUUUUUUUGUUUUGGAUUUGUAUUUUGAAUCUCCCUCUCCCUGCCCUCUUGUGUUUUUGUAAGCCUCGUGGUAGUUUCUUUUUGACCUUGACAACACACCAGUUUAUAUUCUUUAUGAU